This 1572-nucleotide ribosomal RNA is filed under the name Triticum aestivum (bread wheat). RNAcentral's name for it is "partial small subunit ribosomal RNA". Lineage: Eukaryota; Viridiplantae; Streptophyta; Magnoliopsida; Poales; Poaceae. The record is from RNAcentral.
AUGAAGACCCUCAUGAGCACAUUAGUAAUGUUCUGGAGUAUGCCAAUACAGUCCAGUAUCAUGGCGUUUCCCAAGAUGCUAUCAAGUGUAUGUUGUUCACAUUCUCUCUCAGAGAUGCUGCUAAGGACUGGUACUAUUCUUUGCCAUCAAGAUCAUACACUUGGGGUGAUAUUUCACAAGCUUUCCUGCAUAGAUAUUUUCCACUUUACAAGCAAGCUGCAAUUCGUGACCAGAUCCUCAGUUUUGCGCAAGAUGGUAGUGAGAGCUUGUAUGCAGCUUGGGAGAGAUAUAAGUAUUUUGCUUAGAAAAUGUCCUAAUCAUGGGCAAAAGGAUUGGUUAGUGCUUCAGAUAUUCUAUAGAGGGCUGACACAUGCUUCAAGAGAUCUUAUUGAUAUGUCAGCUGGUGGAACAAUCAUGAACAAGACCGUCGAGGGUGCAAUUAUUCUCAUUGAGAGCAUUGCCUUCCACCAAAUGCAAUGGGGUUAUGAAAGGCCUAGUUCAAAUCCGAAGGUUGCAAGCCUCGUGCAAUCAGAAGUUGUGUGUUCCAUAAGUGAACAGAAAUCAUCCAUGGUGCCUAAUAUUCAAAACCAGCAUGUUUCAUUCCGGGGACAACAACAUUUCAGAACUGAAUUAGAUCCUCCAUAUAGAACGAUUGAUCUUACUUCAAUUAUCCUUGAUGAUGAUUAUGAUAUUUUUCAAGAUGAUGAAACUACUGUAGAUCAGAUGGAAACCACAGUAGCAGAUCCAAUACCUCAUGGCAAUGAAACUGUCCAGAAUGAGUCAAAGCUGCAAGAAGAUGUUUAUGAGGAACCUACUCUGAUUGAUGCUAAGUUGAGACAGCAAGAUAUGGAGAAAUUCACUUGUGUUAGUCAACUAUGUGACUGGUGGAAUUUAGUCGUGUCACCAAUUGCCCACACUUGUGUUACAACGGUAUCUGGGCUAUUUGUCAAGAAGAAAUCAUUAGCUCCACCGGUGGUUGCCUCUAUCGCAGUUAAAGAGAGUAUCUCAGAGAAGAAUAGUGAAGAUGAGAUUCCAACUCCUGCACAUACAACUAAGCAAGUUGGAGCCAUUCCAAGGAGAGAGAUACAAGAGGUUGAGUCAAAUUUAGAAGAGUUGAUACUUCAAUAUCCUAAGAAGAUCCCACGUGUUGCUGAGCUGCAUGACUGGUGGAAGUCAUCAGUGUCACUGUUGAGACUUAGUAGUGAUGGUGAUGAGGAGAACAUUGCUCAGAAAGACAGCGAGGUAGUGAUCUCAGCACCCCUACCAGAUCAUGUUAGUGAAUAUUCACAUAUGGGGACACUUCAGACUCAAUUAAGUGUUGCUGGUAGUAGCACCAUAGAAGAUCCAGAGGAAGAGAGUCCUCAACUUGAAGAAGAUUUACAAGAAGACAAGGAACAAGAUGAUCAAGAGCUGCAAUUUCCAAGUGAUCAAGUUGAAGACUCAUCAUCUACUACUCCUGAAGAAGUACAAGAAGCUGCAGUAGAUGAAUAUGAAGAACCUGAGAUUCAUUGGCCUAUUGUCAUACAUGAGCGCGAUGUGUCAGUACUUUCCUCGUGCUACUUCUAUGCUUAA